GCUGGGCGCGGUGGCUCACGCCUGUAAUCCCAGCACUUUGGGAGGCUGAGGUGGGUGGAUCACCUGAGGUCAGGAGUUCAAGACCAGCCUGGCCAACAUGGUGAAACCCUGCCUCUA
Molecule: small RNA, 117 nt
Filed under: Pongo abelii (Sumatran orangutan)
Lineage: Eukaryota; Metazoa; Chordata; Mammalia; Primates; Hominidae
Description: Metazoan signal recognition particle RNA (ENSPPYG00000040599.1)
Source: Rfam by way of RNAcentral